RNAcentral lists this long non-coding RNA (355 nucleotides) under Anthonomus grandis grandis. RNAcentral's name for it is "uncharacterized LOC126736868". Lineage: Eukaryota; Metazoa; Arthropoda; Insecta; Coleoptera; Curculionidae. The record is from RNAcentral.
UAAUUUUUCUUAACACGUAUUCAGUUAAGAUACAACGAAUGUAUUAUAUAUGUGCAGUUAUAUUUUAGUUGCCUGUUUGAAGUUAAAAUUAUAUCUUGUUUUAAAUUAUGAAAUUAAUAGUCAACAUAGUUUUCUGUUUAUGUUUUUUAGCCACUUUUUGUGCAACUUUGCCACCCAAAUGGCCUGUCAUAAAAGGAGGCGGAUGCCCUCCAGCAUUUAAAAAACAUUUUUGUUUGAAUGGGGGCAAGUGCUUUGCGGACCUAAUAGAUAUUUUUCCAAAUUACUACUGUAAAUGUCCAACUCCGUAUAUAGGAGUUAGAUGUGAGAAUAUUGCUGAUACAGAAUGGUCCUUCGG